This 505-nucleotide ribosomal RNA is filed under the name Merlinius joctus. RNAcentral describes it as "SSU rRNA". It matches the Rfam family "Eukaryotic small subunit ribosomal RNA", at positions 88 to 590 of the family's 1831-position model. Lineage: Eukaryota; Metazoa; Nematoda; Chromadorea; Rhabditida; Merliniidae. The record is from RNAcentral.
CGCGAAUGGCUCAUUACAACAGCUAUAAUUUACUUGAUCUUGACACAAUCCUACUUGGAUAACUGUGGUAAUUCUAGAGCUAAUACAUGCAUUAAAGCUCUGACCUCACGGGAAGAGUGCAUUUAUUCGAACAAAACCAAGCGGCUUCGGCCGUCCGCAGUUGACCCAGAAUAACUAAGCUGAUCGCAUGGUCUUGAACCGGCGACGUGUCUUUCAAGUAUCUGCCUUAUCAACUUUCGAUGGUAGUGUAUCUGACUACCAUGGUGGUGACGGGUAACGGAGGAUGAGGGUUCGACUCCGGAGAAGGGGCCUGAGAAAUGGCCACUACGUCUAAGGAUGGCAGCAGGCGCGCGAAUUACCCACUCUCAGAAUGAGGAGGUAGUGACGAGAAAUAACAAGACCGUUCUCACAAGAGGCCGGUCAUUGGAAUGGGUACAAUUUAAACCCUUUAACGAGUAUCUAUGAGAGGGCAAGUCUGGUGCCAGCAGCCGCGGUAAUUCCAGCU